ACUUUUUCUUUCCGCCAUCUUGGCGCCUUUGGAGGCCUGCUGGGAACAGGACUUCUAAAAAACAAGUAUGUCUGGAAGGCUGUGGUGCAAGGCCAUUUUUGCUGGCUACAAGCGAGGCCUCAGGAACCAAAGAGAGCACACGGCUCUUCUUAAAAUUGAAGGUGUUUAUGCCCGAGAUGAAACUGAGUUCUACUUAGGCAAGCGGUGUGCUUAUGUGUACAAAGCAAAAAACAAUACAGUGACUCCUGGAGGCAAACCAAACAAAACCAGAGUGAUCUGGGGAAAAGAAACUCGGG
RNAcentral lists this long non-coding RNA (296 nucleotides) under Rattus norvegicus (Norway rat). RNAcentral describes it as "long non-coding RNA NONRATT000245". Lineage: Eukaryota; Metazoa; Chordata; Mammalia; Rodentia; Muridae. The record is from RNAcentral.